Stegodyphus dumicola is the source of this 210-nucleotide small nucleolar RNA. RefSeq annotates it as small nucleolar RNA U3. The record is from RefSeq and is a predicted model, not a curated record. Lineage: Eukaryota; Metazoa; Arthropoda; Arachnida; Araneae; Eresidae.
AAGAUCAUACUUCAUAGGAUCAUUUCUAUAGUAUGAUUAGCGAGUUCACUCACCGAACUUCGCAAAAAUCCCAGCCACGAUGAUGUGUGAAGGUGUUUUUUCCUGAGCGUGAAGCGGACUGGAUUUAGGGCUUCGGCUUUUAUCGAGUCAUUGAUGAUCGCACCUCUCGCCAUUGCGGCGACGGGAAGGAAAGAACUCGUUCUGAGUGGU